GUAUCAACACAGAGUACAGCAGAUUUCAGCGAUCAUGUACUGCGCAGUAUAUGGAUGUUACAGUAACAGCAAAAAUAAUUCUGACCAUUCUAUUCA
Long non-coding RNA from Xenia sp. Carnegie-2017, 96 nucleotides. RefSeq lists it as uncharacterized. The record is from RefSeq and is a predicted model, not a curated record. NCBI's taxonomy places the organism in Eukaryota, Metazoa, Cnidaria, Anthozoa, Malacalcyonacea, Xeniidae. The transcript is spliced from 3 exons.